GCCCUAGCUGCAAUACAGAAGAUCAUUUAAAUCGAUAAAUGACUUGCGUGGUACAAUACUCAAGACUGGAUUUUGGUAAAAAAAACACUUAAAUGCUGCUGAUGAUUUUCAUAACAGCAUAAAACAAUAUAUGUAAAAAUAUAAUUUGUAGGAAACAUACUCUCCUCUAUUCCUUGAUGGUUCCCUGAAGGUCUCAGGACAGAAAAGCCGGCUCCAUGAUGCUCUACCUGAGAGACGCCCACUGGAGCUGAGGAAGGUGGAGUAGCCGGCUCCAUGAUGCUCUGCCUGAGAGACGCCCACUGGAGCUGAGGAAGGUGGAGUAGCCGGCUCCAUGAUGCUCUGCCUGAGAGACGCCCACUGGAGCUGAGGAAGGUGGAGUAGGAUUCUGGUUCUGUGACGGGUCCACCCUUUCUCUGGCUGUGGUUCCUCCAUGGUUCUGACGCUCUUCAACACCCUGUCAAGGUCUUUAUACGGAGGCCACCAGGAGUAGCCGUCUGCGUACCAUGACUUGGCAAUUGGUCCAGUUGUACCUUCUCCCUCAAACUCCACUAUUAGAACUCAACGGUUGUUGAGAGGUCGCCAACUAAAUGGAUGCCGAGUGUAGAAAAUGUUAGAGGAUAGUCAAAGAAAGAUUCCUGGUUGUUGAAGGUACUGUAGGCAACAUAAACUUCAUCCUUGAAUGAAAUAAUGUUCUGGAGCUUAGAAGCUUUGCCGCCGAUGUAGACGUGACCGUUUGCCUGGUCUAGUUUAAGAGUGUAAGGGCUUGUCCUUAACUCUUUAUAUUGUGUCGCCUCAUGAAAGGAUGCAGGGAGAGGACCAUUCGCAUGCUGUUUUUUGAGCAGAUGUGGCCUGGUUUUCUGAGGUGUUUUGCAGCUUCUUUGCAUCUCUGAGAAUCUUUUUAUUAUUUGACUCAGAGGGCAUGUUGGUUUCCUCAGAAGUCUUUUGAGUUUGUGCAGGUGAUUCUCAUACUUGAAAGCACUGAAGUUGUCAAGAACCCCAUGCUUUUUUGCAUCAUCUGCAAGAUGUACGAGGGAGUGUGCAUUAUACGACAAGAACUGUGAACCGUACAGUUGCCCAAAGUGAGUGACAAAAAGAACUAGCAUUUCAUUUGCAUAAUCACAGUAAUCUUCAAUGAAACUGUUGUUGCACAGGAUGGAGAUUCCCACAAAAAGCAGCAUGAAGUUUUUGUACACCUCUGUGCUGAGGAGAUCCUUCAUCAUGACCGGUCCCGUAUACAGUAAAAACUGCCUGAACUCUGUUGCCUUCCACCUAUCAAUUUCCUUCAGUGCCCUUGGUUUCCGUGCAAACUCCAUGGGCACAUAUCUUCGCGCAUUCACCAACCUUUCUGAUAAUGUGUUUAUUUGAAAACCCGACAGCCUACAAGUAAGAGGACCCAUCUUCAGCCACAAGUGGAGAAGCCGUCUCAUGACUCCGAGGCACACAAGGUGCAUGUAGUCGAGGGGGAAGCCAGAGACCAUAUCCAGGGACGUUUCUUCAAGGGGUGAGAUACCUCGGUGAUGAUCAGAAUCGGACUUGUUUCUGAAGCUCUCAUUGGUUCUUCGAGGCAAGUCACUUCUUGGAAAUGUCAUCCUGUUUUCCAGGUACACGCCAUCCUCUGUACAUUUUUCACAUCCAUGAUAGCCUGUGUGACCUUUGACAUUUUUCAGGAAUGCACGAGCAGGUGCGUCGCAAACCAUUGAUGACAGAUGUAAAGUUAACUUCACUCCUUCAAAGUCGAAUCCAUUGGCCAAUUCAUUUACUUCAGCGAUGAAGUCUUCAAGAUACUCAGUUAGAGAGGUAGGUUUACAUGUGCCACAAAAUAAGCCUAUUGUCACUGGUUCCUCUUGUCUGAUAUUUUGCAGUGUUCCUAGAAUGGGCCAGAACUGUGUUGCUGAGCUCUUGAAGAGGGGCAAACCAUCUAUGCUGACCUGAAGCUCCAGCGUGUGAAUGUUGCUCAGAAUGUCGACGUUCUGAUGUAGCAGCUCUGUAAUGGAUUUCAGCAAUCCGAAAUGUUGCCCAAGUUGCCAAAUCGUCUUCCAGGGAAGUUGGAUCAGAUUCGGACUCCGUGUCUGAUUCACUGUCUUCAAGAACAC
Molecule: long non-coding RNA, 2093 nt
Organism: Rhinichthys klamathensis goyatoka
Lineage: Eukaryota; Metazoa; Chordata; Actinopteri; Cypriniformes; Leuciscidae
Exons: 7
Source: RefSeq, a predicted model, not a curated record